CAAGACCUGCGCUUUUGGAGCGGCCGAUGUCUGAUUAGCUUGUUGGUAAGGUAAAAGCUUACCAAGGCUUCGAUCAGUAGCUGGUCUGAGAGGACGGCCAGCCACACUGGGACUGAGACACGGCCCAGACUCCUACGGGAGGCAGCAGUGGGGAAUUUUGGACAAUGGGGGCAACCCUGAUCCAGCCAUGCCGCGUGAGUGAAGAAGGCCUUCGGGUUGUAAAGCUCUUUCAGCCGGAACGAAACGGUUACGGUUAAUACCCGUGACUACUGACGGUACCGGAAGAAGAAGCACCGGCUAACUACGUGCCAGCAGCCGCGGUAAUACGUAGGGUGCAAGCGUUAAUCGGAAUUACUGGGCGUAAAGCGUGCGCAGGUGGUUUUGUAAGUCAGAUGUGAAAUCCCCGGGCUUAACCUGGGAACU
RNAcentral lists this ribosomal RNA (423 nucleotides) under uncultured bacterium. RNAcentral describes it as "bacterial SSU rRNA". It matches the Rfam family "Bacterial small subunit ribosomal RNA", at positions 207 to 622 of the family's 1533-position model. The record is from RNAcentral.